RNAcentral lists this ribosomal RNA (906 nucleotides) under uncultured bacterium. RNAcentral describes it as "bacterial SSU rRNA". It matches the Rfam family "Bacterial small subunit ribosomal RNA", at positions 583 to 1501 of the family's 1533-position model. The record is from RNAcentral.
GUAAGUCAGUUGUGAAAGUUUGCGGCUCAACCGUAAAAUUGCAGUUGAUACUGUCAGUCUUGAGUACAGUAGAGGUGGGCGGAAUUCGUGGUGUAGCGGUGAAAUGCUUAGAUAUCACGAAGAACUCCGAUUGCGAAGGCAGCUCACUGGACUGCAACUGACACUGAUGCUCGAAAGUGUGGGUAUCAAACAGGAUUAGAUACCCUGGUAGUCCACACAGUAAACGAUGAAUACUCGCUGUUUGCGAUAUACAGUAAGCGGCCAAGCGAAAGCAUUAAGUAUUCCACCUGGGGAGUACGCCGGCAACGGUGAAACUCAAAGGAAUUGACGGGGGCCCGCACAAGCGGAGGAACAUGUGGUUUAAUUCGAUGAUACGCGAGGAACCUUACCCGGGCUUAAAUUGCAGUGGAAUGAUGUGGAAACAUGUCAGUGAGCAAUCACCGCUGUGAAGGUGCUGCAUGGUUGUCGUCAGCUCGUGCCGUGAGGUGUCGGCUUAAGUGCCAUAACGAGCGCAACCCUUAUCUUCAGUUACUAACAGGUCAUGCUGAGGACUCUGGAGAGACUGCCGUCGUAAGAUGUGAGGAAGGUGGGGAUGACGUCAAAUCAGCACGGCCCUUACGUCCGGGGCUACACACGUGUUACAAUGGGGGGUACAGAAGGCAGCUAGCGGGUAACCGUAUGCUAAUCCCAAAAUCCUCUCUCAGUUCGGAUCGAAGUCUGCAACCCGACUUCGUGAAGCUGGAUUCGCUAGUAAUCGCGCAUCAGCCACGGCGCGGUGAAUACGUUCCCGGGCCUUGUACACACCGCCCGUCAAGCCAUGGGAGCCGGGGGUACCUGAAGUACGUAACCGCAAGGAUCGUCCUAGGGUAAAACUGGUGACUGGGGCUAAGUCGUAACAAGGUAACC